RNAcentral lists this ribosomal RNA (253 nucleotides) under uncultured bacterium. Its description in RNAcentral is "partial 16S ribosomal RNA". It matches the Rfam family "Bacterial small subunit ribosomal RNA", at positions 524 to 776 of the family's 1533-position model. The record is from RNAcentral.
GACAGAGGGUGCAAGCGUUGUUCGGAUUCACUGGGCGUAAAGGGUGCGUAGGUGGUGAGGUAAGUCGGAUGUGAAAGCCCUUGGCUCAACUGAGGAAGUGCACCCGAAACUGAGUGGCUUGAGUACUAAAGAGGGUCGCGGAAUUCCCGGUGUAGAGGUGAAAUUCGUAGAUAUCGGGAGGAACACCGGUGGCGAAGGCGGCGACCUGGGUAGAUACUGACGCUGAGGCGCGAAAGCGUGGGGAGCAAACAGG